UACAGAGGUCCCAAGCGUUGUUCGGAUUCACUGGGCGUAAAGGGUGCGUAGGCGGUCGGGUAAGUCUGGCGUGAAAUCUCCAAGCCUAACUUGGAAACUGCGUUGGAUACUAUCCGGCUCGAGGAAUGGAGGGGAGACUGGAAUACUUGGUGUAGCAGUGAAAUGCGUAGAUAUCAAGUGGAACACCAGUGGCGAAGGCGGCCUUCUGGACCAGUACUGACGCUCAUGCACGAAAGCGUGGGGAGCAAACAGG
Molecule: ribosomal RNA, 253 nt
Filed under: uncultured bacterium
Lineage: Bacteria
Description: partial 16S ribosomal RNA
Rfam family: Bacterial small subunit ribosomal RNA
Source: RNAcentral